GUAGGGUGCAAGCGCUAUCCGGAAUUAUUGGGCGUAAAGGGCUCGUAGGCGGUUCGUCGCGUCCGGUGUGAAAGUCCAUCGCUUAACGGUGGAUCCGCGCCGGGUACGGGCGGGCUUGAGUGCGGUAGGGGAGACUGGAAUUCCCGGUGUAACGGUGGAAUGUGUAGAUAUCGGGAAGAACACCAAUGGCGAAGGCAAGUCUCUGGGCCGUUACUGACGCUGAGGAGCGAAAGCGUGGGGAGCGAACAGGAUUAGAUACCCUGGUAGUCCACGCCGUAAACGGUGGAUGCUGGGUGUGGGGCCCGUUCCACGGGUUCCGUGUCGGAGCUAACGCGUUAAGCAUCCCGCCUGGGGAGUACGGCCGCAAGGCUUA
Molecule: ribosomal RNA, 373 nt
Filed under: uncultured bacterium
Lineage: Bacteria
Description: bacterial SSU rRNA
Rfam family: Bacterial small subunit ribosomal RNA
Source: RNAcentral